AACCUCCGCAAUGUGAGAAAUCGCGACGGGGGGAUCCCAAGUGCCAUUCUUAACGGGAUGGCUUUUCAUUAGUGUAAAGAGCUUUUGGAAUAAGGGCUGGGCAAGACCGGUGCCAGCCGCCGCGGUAACACCGGCAGCUCUAGUGGUAGCAGUUUUUAUUGGGCCUAAAGCGCCCGUAGCCGGUUUAAUAAGUCUCUGGUGAAAUCCUGUAGCUUAACUGUGGGAAUUGCUGGAGAUACUAUUAGACUUGAGACCGGGAGAGGUUAGAGGUACUCCCAGGGUAGAGGUGAAAUUCUGUAAUCCUGGGAGGACCGCCUGUUGCGAAGGCGUCUAACUGGAACGGUUCUGACGGUGAGGGACGAAAGUUAGGGGCGCGAACCGGAUUAGAUACCCGGGUAGUCCUAACUGUAAACGAUGCGGACUUGGUGUUGGGGUGGCUUUGAGCUGCUCCAGUGCCGAAGGGAAGCUGUUAAGUCCGCCGCCUGGGAAGUACGGUCGCAAGACUGAAACUUAAAGGAAUU
This 521-nucleotide ribosomal RNA is filed under the name uncultured bacterium. RNAcentral's name for it is "bacterial SSU rRNA". It matches the Rfam family "Archaeal small subunit ribosomal RNA", at positions 345 to 866 of the family's 1478-position model. The record is from RNAcentral.